UUAUUAAUAUCACUAUAUUUUUGGAGGGAGAGGCACCUUUCUCAUCCUCUCUUCCUCUCCGCCCACCCUUACUCCCUCCCCCUCAUCUACCUGUCAAAGUCACUGAUCUUUUGCAUUUCGGAAGAGGACGUCAACGGGAAGGAAUUCCCCCUCUGGGUGCCGGCUCCGAGAGGGGGCGACUUGCAGGAGGCUCCCCCCGGGGGCGGAGGCGAAGGGUGUUGGUGCCAGAAGAAAAGAAUGAUUGAUGGGAAACAGACACCGGGCUAUAGACACUCAUCCUUUUGCUUCAGACACUGAUAUCUCAGCCUGCCUGAGCAUCCCUUGUGAGCUGUGAACAUUGAGGAUCACUCAGGGUUAUCGGAUGUACAACGGGAGAGCCAUCACUUUGCUAAAUUAUUAUCUGCAGUUGGACAUCUUUUACAAAAACCAAACUAGACCUGAGUCUAAUAGAUAUGUUCUAAGACAAAGAAAAAGCUGCAAGUUGUUAACGCCUAACACACAAGUAUGUUAGGCUUCCACCAAAGUCCUCAAUAUACCUGAAUACGCACAAUAUCUUAACUCUUCAUAUUUGGUUUUGGGAUCUGCUUUGAGGUCCCAUCUUCAUUUAAAAAAAAAUUACACAGACCUACCUACCCAUACGCAUACAUACAUAUGUGUAUAUAUAUGUAAACUAGACAAAGAUCGCAGAUCAUAAAGCAAGCUCUGCUUUAGCUUCCAAGAAGAUUACAAAGAAUUUAGAGAUGUAUUUGUCAAGAUUCCUGUCGAUUCAUGCCCUUUGGGUUACGGUGUCCUCAGUGAUGCAGCCCUACCCUUUGGUUUGGGGACAUUAUGAUCUGUGUAAGACUCAGAUUUACACGGAAGAAGGGAAAGUUUGGGAUUACAUGGCCUGCCAGCCGGAAUCCACGGACAUGACAAAAUAUCUGAAAGUGAAACUCGAUCCUCCGGAUAUUACCUGUGGAGACCCUCCUGAGACGUUCUGUGCAAUGGGCAAUCCCUACAUGUGCAAUAAUGAGUGUGAUGCGAGUACCCCUGAGCUGGCACACCCCCCUGAGCUGAUGUUUGAUUUUGAAGGAAGACAUCCCUCCACAUUUUGGCAGUCUGCCACUUGGAAGGAGUAUCCCAAGCCUCUCCAGGUUAACAUCACUCUGUCUUGGAGCAAAACCAUUGAGCUAACAGACAACAUAGUUAUUACCUUUGAAUCGGGGCGUCCAGACCAAAUGAUCCUGGAGAAGUCUCUCGAUUAUGGACGAACAUGGCAGCCCUAUCAGUAUUAUGCCACAGACUGCUUAGAUGCUUUUCACAUGGAUCCUAAAUCCGUGAAGGAUUUAUCACAGCAUACGGUCUUAGAAAUCAUUUGCACAGAAGAGUACUCAACAGGGUAUACAACAAAUAGCAAAAUAAUCCACUUUGAAAUCAAAGACAGGUUCGCGUUUUUUGCUGGACCUCGCCUACGCAAUAUGGCUUCCCUCUACGGACAGCUGGAUACAACCAAGAAACUCAGAGAUUUCUUUACAGUCACAGACCUGAGGAUAAGGCUGUUAAGACCAGCCGUUGGGGAAAUAUUUGUAGAUGAGCUACACUUGGCACGCUACUUUUACGCGAUCUCAGACAUAAAGGUGCGAGGAAGGUGCAAGUGUAAUCUCCAUGCCACUGUAUGUGUGUAUGACAACAGCAAAUUGACAUGCGAAUGUGAGCACAACACUACAGGUCCAGACUGUGGGAAAUGCAAGAAGAAUUAUCAGGGCCGACCUUGGAGUCCAGGCUCCUAUCUCCCCAUCCCCAAAGGCACUGCAAAUACCUGUAUCCCCAGUAUUUCCAGUAUUGGUAGUAAGUAAAAACAAAAACAAAAAAAACACCAAACCAAGUCUAGGCUAGCUUUGCUUUGUUGUUCACCUCCUCAGAUCUAUUUUCCCAGUGUCCAUUUCUGAUGUAAUAGGGUAUUUUCUUUGUGAAUUGCAUUUUUGUGUUGGUUUUCUGCACAGAUCUGGUGAGAACACAGAUAAAAUGAUUAUUUGUGCAUAACUCCAUGAACAUGGCAGUGCUAUGACUUUUCUGACUACUCUUAACCAGUGAGGGCUACCUAGACUCAGGUGCAAUUCCUUAGAUAAUCAUCAUUCAGGAAAAAUAUAAGUAGUCCUAUUUAUCCAUACUUAGCAACCAACAAACAAAUUGAACUCUCUCUCUUAGACUGGAUUUGGAUGUCUGACAUAAUUUUAAAAAGCAGAAAAUGAAAGCCAAUGAAUGCCUUGGGUAUAUGCAUCAGAACCCAAGAAAAAGUCCAUGAUACCAAGGGAAGGGAAUUUUGUUAAUGCAUUAAAUUCUAUGUUUUGUGAAGGCCUGAAACAGGCAAAUUUGUGAUCAGUAGUCUCUCUGGAGAGAUAAAGGAAAAAGAGAAUCUGUACAUUCAUUUCUCCUUCCUAAAAUACGAUGAUCUAUGUCUUCUUGACUACUUAGCUUUGAGUUUGAUAUAGAAACAGUAUAAAAAAUAUGUGCAGAAUUUGGGAGUGAGAGUACUAGAAAUUCCUUUAAUAAAUCUGUUAGUAUGAAUCUAAGCAAUUGAAGAGAAACCGCUCUUCAACCAUCUAUAGAACACUUCUCCGGUAUCACUACAAAGAACUUUCUUCCAGCUAUCAUGGGAGAACCAGGUGUAGCUCCCGCUUCAUGUGUAAAAUAAUGAUGCCCUCAUGCCAAGCCUGAAAUUCGCAUUAAGAAAAUGCCCAGUAACUUUACAGAGCAAAAUUUUAAAUAUUUUUUAUACAUUGCACCCUUUAUCUCUAAUGGCUAAAAUCUUUGAACAACUACUAAGUAACUGAUUACAAAUAAAUUACUGAGGAAGCAAGAUUACGCAUGGUAAGCGGAGAGAAUUUUCACUGUAGUGUCACCUCCUCACAGGCUUGUGUCAUAGGUGCUGUGCCAGGCAGGGUGAUCGCAGUGUAAAUAGCCAUUGAAUGAUUGUGAUUCCCAGCAUCCAUCUAAAAAGCAAUACUCUGAUAAUUUGGAUAAAGCAACUUCCUGCUUCUUAUAAAUGCGCAGUCAGGUGUCCCAAUUUAUAAAUCAACCCAGUUUACUUGAGCUUGUGAAUAGGCCUGGACACUGAUUUGUUAAGCAGUAGAUGUGGUAAAUGCCAUGAAAAUUGGCCACUUUGUAAAUAGAAGUAGUGUUCACAUCCAUUUAGAGAUACCAGCCUAAUGCUACAGCAUCCUCUUUGUGAUCUUGUUGAAACAGCAUCAGUGUUAAAAACUUGCAAAUGAAAACCUUCAGCUCUAAUAGUCUAAUUUUUCUGCUUUAGUAUCCCCCUUGGCAUUUGCCUAACUGUAUAUAUACCCCACAAUGUGCUCCUUUCAGGCCUUGACAAUUGCAUUUGCACGUGCAUUUUAGUGCAACAGGGAAGCAAGUAGAAGCAAGCUGACACAGAUUUUUGAGGCUGCUAUAGUGAUCUGGCCUGUCAGAAGUUUCAGAAAUGGAUGGAUGGAAAAGUAGUUCUUUGGCGUUGGGGUGUCUUUCCGUUUGGAGUGUCAGUUGUAUGUUGCAUGGCCCCUCUAACUGUACUGCUCACUCGACAUCCCAUUCGGCCGCCUCCACCACAUUCCCCAUAUCUGAGCAUCAGCAGAUGUUGACCUUUUACACACCAAAUCAGGAAAUUUCUGUUUUGUUUUGUUUUGUUUUGAAAUCAGUGGUGACCUGAAAGGAUGCUUCGUUGUGCCUUUGAAAAAAAUAUAUUAACCUUUAUUAUCAAGAACCUAGGAAAAUUUACUCCUAAUAAAAACCCUCUGACUAAAAGUGAUAUUUUGGACUCUCCCUUCAAUAUGCCUCUGGCUGUUCCGCUUAGAAUGCAAUGGGUAUUUUCUCAGAUUUCCAGCAAACAGGAUGUAAGAGCUUCCAGAGGUCACCCAACAUCACACAUGACUAGCUUACCUGUUGCCUGGCUUUUAAGGUGAAGAGUUACAGUAAAACCAUCAAACGUGAUUGUAUCUUCUAGGCUGCUUUAAUGGCAUUCAAAAGUUCCUUCUUUGUGGGCUUAUAAGUUGCUUUUUGUGUGCACUCGUGGAUUCCUUUCCUCUCCAAAGGGCAAGAAUUCACACAUAGAUGACACUGCCUGUUCUAGAGGGCACGGGAAUGGGGUUUUCAAGGUGCAAGCCAGAGAAAAGGAAGCUGUUUGGAUAUUUAGCUAAGUUAUGGGUGUUUGCCAGUGCUUUUUGCAUUACCCCAAAGAAGGAAUCAAUGACUAUAAUUCCACUAACUAUAUAGAAAGAUACCAUUAUAGCAGAUGUAACACCCCUGAGACCCCGAUUAUCACAGCAUAGCUCAAGGAAAAUAAAUGAUGUAUAUUAUCGAUGUAGAUUAUUGAUGUAUAUAACCAUCAGUUUACAUACAUAUUCUGUAUACACAGUGAUUAAAGGUUUUGGAGCCCUAAUAAAUUUCAGUAUAGAUCUCAAAAUGCCAACGCCUGUAUUAAGGUUCAAAUGCAUGGAUAGGGUGGUCAUCCUUUCCGAUCAUCUGCUAAAAAUGUUUUUGAAACAAAUUUCCCAUUAAGGUCAUUUGUACCUGCUGUUGUCUAUCUAUUAACAAAUAGGGUUCCCAUAUUCCUAAGGAUACUUGACUUAGAACUCAGUCAUUCUGAUCUGCUUUGGCCAUGGCUGAAAAUAUGCUGGUGAUAUUGUCAGCAAUUAAUGAAUCCCAAAAUAAAUCUGUAGCCUUUG
Molecule: small RNA, 4700 nt
Filed under: Pan troglodytes (chimpanzee)
Lineage: Eukaryota; Metazoa; Chordata; Mammalia; Primates; Hominidae
Description: retained intron
Source: RNAcentral